AUGGCGCGUGUCGAAGCCUCCAUGCGGCGCGUACGUCCGCACCGGCAACACACGGCAAAGUGGGAACACAACUGUCACACACCCGCGGGUUCCCGGCACCCACCUCUAGGCCAUUGUUCCAGCGACCGCCCUACCUCGUCGGUCGUCGCCUCUCCCCACAUAUACUUGCGCUCUCCCUGCCCACCUGAGCCACACCCGCCUGCGACCAGUUCACCCACCGAUCACCUGAAGAUCACAUACUACUCGUCAAUCUUUGCUGGGCAGUUGGCAUCGAUGGCUCCUGCCGGGAACAGGGGCGCCCGCGCGGUCGCGCCGGCGGUGCUGGUGCUGGCGCUGGCGCUGGCGCCGCGGGGCGCGAGCGCGGCGCUGACGUGCUCCACGGUGUACAACGAGCUGAUGCCGUGCCUCGGGUACGUGCAGUCGGGCGGGGCGGUGCCGCGGGCGUGCUGCUCGGGGAUCAAGACGCUCGUGUCCAGGGCGCGCGCCACGCCCGACCGCCGCGCCGCCUGCGCCUGCCUCAAGACCGUGGCCGCCGCCGCGGCGGGCGGGCCGUACCUCGGCCGCGCCGCGGGGCUGCCCGGCAGGUGCGGCGUCCAGCCGCCCUUCAAGAUCGACCCCAACGUCAACUGCAACGCGGUAUAA
This 642-nucleotide ribosomal RNA is filed under the name Triticum aestivum (bread wheat). RNAcentral describes it as "partial small subunit ribosomal RNA". Lineage: Eukaryota; Viridiplantae; Streptophyta; Magnoliopsida; Poales; Poaceae. The record is from RNAcentral.